ACAAGCGGUGGAGCAUUGUGGUUUAAUUCGAAGCAACGCGAAGAACCUUACCAGGUCUUGACAUCCCGAUGCUUAUUUCUAGAGAUAGAAAGUUACUUCGGUACAUCGGUGACAGGUGGUGCAUGGUUGUCGUCAGCUCGUGUCGUGAGAUGUUGGGUUAAGUCCCGCAACGAGCGCAACCCCUAUUGUUAGUUGCCAUCAUUCAGUUGGGCACUCUAGCGAGACUGCCGGUAAUAAACCGGAGGAAGUGGGGAUGACGUCAAAUCAUCAUGCCCCUUAUGACCUGGGCUACACACGUGCUACAAUGGUUGGUACAACGAGUUGCGAGUCGGUGACGGCGAGCUAAUCUCUUAAAGCCAAUCUCAGUUCGGAUUGUAGGCUGCAACUCGCCUACAUGAAGUCGGAAUCGCUAGUAAUCGCGGAUCAGCACGCCGCGGUCGAAUACGUUCCCGGGCCUU
Molecule: ribosomal RNA, 458 nt
Filed under: uncultured Streptococcus sp.
Lineage: Bacteria; Bacillati; Bacillota; Bacilli; Lactobacillales; Streptococcaceae
Description: bacterial SSU rRNA
Rfam family: Bacterial small subunit ribosomal RNA
Source: RNAcentral